Molecule: unclassified non-coding RNA, 687 nt
Filed under: Hevea brasiliensis (rubber tree)
Lineage: Eukaryota; Viridiplantae; Streptophyta; Magnoliopsida; Malpighiales; Euphorbiaceae
Source: RNAcentral
GGUGACUUGAACCUGACUGUAGGGUCCUAGUUCUGAUGGUUUUGGUUCCUGUUGAUUCUGAUCUGAGUUGGUCGCGGUUAAAGAUUUGAUUUUGGUUUGGUUUGAUUUCAGUUGUGGGUCUGGCCAUAUAGCAAGUUAGGGCUGGUUUUGAAUUGUAAGUUAAGAAGAUAGAAAAAAUUAAGUUGUAUUGCUUUUAAAUAAAAUUAAUUUUAAUUUCAUUAAUAAAGCUAUGCUUAUAAUUUUUCCUUUUUUAAUACAAAGAUAGCAGGGGAAAAAAAUGAAUGAUAAAUAUAAUAAUUUGUUGUGUAAUUAUAAAAGUGAGAAAAAAAAUGACAUGUCUUUGCAAAUGAAAGGAAAAAAAUAUAAUAACACUUCAAUUAUUAAGAUUCUUUUGUGGAAAUUGACAUAGAAAAUUGGAAAAAAAAUAAUUGUGUUUGAGUUGAGUUAAGAUGCUUACGUAUCCUCUGAGAGAGGAAUUAAAGUCCACAUAAUUCUCUUACCCUUGUAAUAGUCCCUAACUUACCUUAAUCCUUACUUUGUCCUUGAUGGUUGUGGAAAAAUGAAAAUUGGAUGUAAUAUUGCAUAACAAUAACAUUAAUUUAGGUAUUUAUAGAGUAUACAAUAAUGAGAGUUGAGAAUAAUUUGAAGAAUAGGAGAUGAUUGAGAGCUUGAGAGUUGGGAUAUUAG